CAUCUGAAAAACAUGCACUUACCUGGUCUUAAUUAUUAUUUUAAGUGUGAAUUUUAUCAUUUUUUGUUGUAUUUUAUUUUGAAAACCCAGAAACCGGAUCUCACUCUAGCGUUUGGAAGCUGCUAAGGCUUCCGCUCCUCACAGCGCGCGUUUGCACUGUGAGGGUAAGUUCUGUAAUGAAAGGCUCUGGCAUUUUUAUGGUUUCUGGUGUGAAUGUUGUUACAUAAGUUGUACAUGUCGAUGUAUAUAGGUUUAUAUUGAUGUUAGGAUGUUACUGUGUAACCGAAACAAAGGCUGGUUGCUGUUAAACAGUGUUUCUGCCGUAUUUAUGCUCUUUGGCAGUAAGCUUUUGUCGGCCCCCUAGUGGUUGCUGCGCAUAGCAGUAAAUGUGUUUGGAUUUACUGUUUUUCUGUGCUUUUUGUGAUGUUGUUUUACAUUGUAGGAGCUACAAUUGCUGGUACCACCAGAAGACACAUGUUAAGUGUUUUCUAUGUCUUCUGCAGGAAUAAACCGUGAACAGCCAACCAUUCUGAGUGUCUGUGGUUCAUGAAGAACGGAAGCGUUACACUGGUGCCGUGACCAUUAGGAUCUUCAGAUCAGCUUGAUGCUCAUCGCCGUGGCUGCUGUUCUGCUCCCCUGCUGUUCACAAGUUGAAUGUGGGUUGUUGUAACCAAGAGCUACAAUUGCUGGUACCACCAGAAGACACAUGUUAAGUGUUUUCUAUGUCUUCUGCAGGUACGUGAGCUUGUUAACAGUCAUCUUGUCUGUAAAGCACAAGCAAGUGAAAAUGUAAUGCGCUACUGUUAAUUUGUCCACUAGAGGGAAAUGUUUAGCCGGUGACACUUCUGUUAUCCUGUUAUUUUGUUUUAUACGAUUGUGAAAUGUAAUUUUUAUAAGUUGUAAGAUGUCUUUUUGUAUUCAAGUACGGUGUGACAGACUGUAAAAUGGAAGAAAUGAUUAUUUUCCAUCUUUUCUUUAUUAAGAAGUAGAUUGAAGUCUGUCAACACAGCGCGCGUUUGCGCUGUGAGGGAGCUACAAUUGCUGGUACCACCAGAAGACACAUGUUAAGUGUUUUCUAUGUCUUCUGCAGGAAUAAACCGUGAACAGCCAA
This is a long non-coding RNA of Oreochromis niloticus (Nile tilapia), 1111 nucleotides long. RefSeq lists it as uncharacterized. NCBI's taxonomy places the organism in Eukaryota, Metazoa, Chordata, Actinopteri, Cichliformes, Cichlidae. The record is from RefSeq and is a predicted model, not a curated record. The transcript has 3 exons.